RNAcentral lists this ribosomal RNA (324 nucleotides) under Conothele sp. MYG525. Its description in RNAcentral is "partial 12S ribosomal RNA". The record is from RNAcentral. Lineage: Eukaryota; Metazoa; Arthropoda; Arachnida; Araneae; Ctenizidae.
UCUAGAGGAAAAAGGGUAAUACUUUUAAAGGAAACCUUUAUUUAUUGGCGGCCUUUUUCCUUAUUAGAGGAACUCGUCUCAUAAUCGUCAAUCCUCGUUAAUUUUUACUUUUUUCUAUCUCUUAUACCGCCGUCUAAAGAUUAAAAUUAUUUUUUCUCAAAAAAAGAAUUUUAACAAGUCAGGUAAAGGUGAGGAUGAAAUAAAAAAGAGAAGAUAAGUUACUUAUAAAAAUUAUUUUUGGAUUUAUUAUUUAACUCUUUAUUGAAAAAGGAUUUAAUAGUAAUUUUUCAAUAAUAUUUCAAAAUGAAUUAGAAAAUUAGGUGU